CAGCAGCCGCGGGAAUACGGAGGGCGCGAGCGUUACCCGGAUUUACUGGGCGUAAAGGGCGUGUAGGCGGCCUGGGGCGUCCCAUGUGAAAGGCCACGGCUCAACCGUGGAGGAGCGUGGGAUACGCUCAGGCUAGAGGGUGGGAGAGGGUGGUGGAAUUCCCGGAGUAGCGGCGAAAUGCGCAGAUACCGGGAGGAACGCCGAUGGCGAAGGCAGCCACCUGGUCCACUUCUGACGCUGAGGCGCGAAAGCGUGGGGAGCAAACCGGAUUAGAUACCCCCGUAGUCCCUGUCUCUUAUAC
This 301-nucleotide ribosomal RNA is filed under the name uncultured bacterium. RNAcentral describes it as "partial 16S ribosomal RNA". It matches the Rfam family "Bacterial small subunit ribosomal RNA", at positions 509 to 807 of the family's 1533-position model. The record is from RNAcentral.